GAUGAACGCUAGCGGGAGGCCUAACACAUGCAAGUCGAGCGGGAUCCCCUUUCGGGGGGUGAGAGCGGCGCACGGGUGAGUAACGCGUAUGCAACCUGCCUUUAACAGGGGAAUAGCCCAUGGAAACGUGGAUUAAUGCCCCAUAUCAUUAUAGUUCCGCAUGGUACUGUAAUCAAAGCUCCGGCGGUUAAAGAUGGGCAUGCGUGACAUUAGCUGGUUGGUAAGGUAACGGCUUACCAAGGCUACGAUGUCUAGGGGUUCUGAGAGGAUGAUCCCCCACACUGGUACUGAGACACGGACCAGACUCCUACGGGAGGCAGCAGUGAGGAAUAUUGGUCAAUGGGCGCAAGCCUGAACCAGCCAUCCCGCGUGAAGGACGACGGCCCUAUGGGUGUGUAAACUUCUUUUCUGCACCAAGAAACGAGAUCUCGUGAGGUCUUCUGACGGUAGUG
This 452-nucleotide ribosomal RNA is filed under the name uncultured bacterium. RNAcentral's name for it is "bacterial SSU rRNA". It matches the Rfam family "Bacterial small subunit ribosomal RNA", at positions 28 to 480 of the family's 1533-position model. The record is from RNAcentral.